CCUACGGGAGGCAGCAGUGAGGAAUAUUGGUCAAUGGGCGGAAGCCUGAACCAGCCAAGUAGCGUGCAGGAUGACGGCCCUACGGGUUGUAAACUGCUUUUAUACGGGAAUAACGCGCCUUACGUGUAGGGCUUUGCAUGUACCGUAUGAAUAAGGACCGGCUAAUUCCGUGCCAGCAGCCGCGGUAAUACGGAGGGUCCGGGCGUUAUCCGGAUUUAUUGGGUUUAAAGGGUGCGUAGGCCGCAUGUCAAGCUUGCUGUGAAAUGUCCGGGCUCAACCCGGGCCCUGCAGCGAGAACUGGCGGGCUUGAGAACGCGGAAGGCAGGCGGAAUUCGUCGUGUAGCGGUGAAAUGCUUAGAUAUGACGAAGAACCCCGAUUGCGAAGGCAGCUUGCGGAAGCGGAACUGACGCUGAGGCUCGAAAGCGCGGGUAGCGAACAGGAUUAGAUACCCGUGUAGUC
RNAcentral lists this ribosomal RNA (460 nucleotides) under uncultured bacterium. Its description in RNAcentral is "partial 16S ribosomal RNA". It matches the Rfam family "Bacterial small subunit ribosomal RNA", at positions 338 to 795 of the family's 1533-position model. The record is from RNAcentral.